Molecule: long non-coding RNA, 1064 nt
Filed under: Vitis vinifera (wine grape)
Lineage: Eukaryota; Viridiplantae; Streptophyta; Magnoliopsida; Vitales; Vitaceae
Description: long non-coding RNA (VVIN_LNC001965)
Source: RNAcentral
CUACCAGCCCACGCAGGAUGCAAAAUCUGUCCAAUUUUUUUUUUUUUUUUUUUUAAAACAUAAAAUGCUAUUUGGUAAUCUGAUCAUGAUUUGCAGGCAAAGGUUGGAUUUUUCAGCAUGGCUCAAAAAUCGUGGAUUUAGGGUUUCUGAAAUUUAAAUCCAAUGGCCCAAAAUCAAAAGAGACCCCUAGAUCAGAUCAAGAAAACACAUGGAGGAAAAAAAAAAGCACUUUUUUUUUUGUUUUUCUUGGGGGUUUUGCAUGGAUUUGGUCGGAAAUCAAACGAGGAUGGAUUUUCUCGGAAAUCAAACGAGGAUGGAUUUUCUCGGAAAUCAAACGAGGAUGAAUUUUCCCGGAAAUCGAAUGGGGGAUGGAUUUUCUUGGGAAUCAAACGGGGGUUGCAAAAAAAAUAUAAUAACUUGAUUAGAUUCGUACCUGCGAGGAUUGAGAAUGGCAGAGGAAAAAAUAGGGCUUUUUUUAGGGAUUCUCUCGUCUGGAGGCCAACUUCAGAAAAGGGCCUCGGAAAUCAAACGAGGAUGGAUUUUCUCGGAAAUCAAACGAGGAUGGAUUUUCCCGAAAAUCGAAUGGGGGUGGAUUUUCUUGGGAAUCAAACGGGGGUUGCAAAAAAAAUAAUAAUAACUUAUUAGAUUAGUACCUGCGAGGAUUGAGAAUGGCAGAGGAAAAAAUAGGGCUUUUUUAGGGAUUCUCUCGUCUGGAGGCCAACUUCAGAAAAGGGCCUCGGAAAUCAAACGAGGAUGGAUUUUCCCGGAAAUCGAAUGGGGGUGGAUUUUCUUGGGAAUCAAACGGGGGUUGCAAAAAAAAUAAUAAUAACUUGAUUAGAUUAGUAUUGCGAGGAUUGAGAAUGGCAGAGGAAAAAAUAGGGCUUUUUUAGGGAUUCUCUCGUCUGGAGGCCAACUUCAGAAAAGGGCUCCUUGAUGCCCGAGUGAGAGACGGUGUCGUGAGAGACGGUGGCUGCUGACAGGGACAAUUAAAGGGCAAUUUUGGAAUAGCAUUUUAAAACAGUAGAUAAUGCAUGUUUCCUUUAAUAUUUUUCCAAACAGUGGAG